GGAUUAUUGACUAUGCCCAAAAGAAAAUGAAUCUCAGGGUUGAAUGUGGUGACAUACAUGUACUUUGAACUUUGUCACAUUAAUGCCAAGCUUGAAUUUUACUGCUGGAUGACGAUGAGACCUAAGAGCAGAAUGACGUUGGGAAAUGUCGAGGAGCUUGACCCAAAAGCAGAACAGCAGAGAUGAUUUUAAUGGGAGCACAGGCCCAGAGACAUCAAACACUCCUGAUGAAAGCUCAUUGACCUAACAGGAACGCUCUACCUUUGGAUGGCGGGGGAAACCUGUAACAUACACCAAAUGCUGUAGGAACUCAGCAUAUCAGAUUAUGUAUUCCAUUGAACUGCUGCUGCUAAGUUAACAAAUUUCACAUCACAAGCCUUUUAUAAUAAACCUGAUUCUGAUUCUGAAAGGACUAGACAGAGUGGAUGUGGGAGGACGUUUCCAC
Molecule: long non-coding RNA, 445 nt
Organism: Mobula hypostoma (lesser devil ray)
Lineage: Eukaryota; Metazoa; Chordata; Chondrichthyes; Myliobatiformes; Myliobatidae
Exons: 5
Source: RefSeq, a predicted model, not a curated record